Molecule: ribosomal RNA, 164 nt
Filed under: Echinops cornigerus
Lineage: Eukaryota; Viridiplantae; Streptophyta; Magnoliopsida; Asterales; Asteraceae
Also listed under: 2 other names
Description: 5.8S ribosomal RNA
Rfam family: 5.8S ribosomal RNA
About the family: 5.8S ribosomal RNA (5.8S rRNA) is a component of the large subunit of the eukaryotic ribosome. It is transcribed by RNA polymerase I as part of the 45S precursor that also contains 18S and 28S rRNA.
Source: RNAcentral
UAAACGACUCUCGGCAACGGAUAUCUCGGCUCACGCAUCGAUGAAGAACGUAGCAAAAUGCGAUACUUGGUGUGAAUUGCAGAAUCCCGUGAACCAUCGAGUUUUUGAACGCAAGUUGCGCCCGAAGCCAUUCGGCCGAGGGCACGUCUGCUUGGGCGUCACGC